GAUGAACGCUGGCGGCGUGCCUAAUACAUGCAAGUCGAGCGAACGGACGAGAAGCUUGCUUCUCUGAUGUUAGCGGCGGACGGGUGAGUAACACGUGGAUAACCUACCUAUAAGACUGGGAUAACUUCGGGAAACCGGAGCUAAUACCGGAUAAUAUUUUGAACCGCAUGGUUCAAAAGUGAAAGACGGUCUUGCUGUCACUUAUAGAUGGAUCCGCGCUGCAUUAGCUAGUUGGUAAGGUAACGGCUUACCAAGGCAACGAUGCAUAGCCGACCUGAGAGGGUGAUCCGCCACACUGGAACUGAGACACGGUCCAGACUCCUAAGGGAGGCAGCAGUAGGGAAUCUUCCGCAAUGGGCGGAAGCCUUGCGGAGGAACGCCGCGGGAGGGAUGAAGGUCUUCGGAUCGGAAAACUCUGUUAAUAGGGAAGAACAUAUGUGUAAGUAACUGUGCACAUCUUGACGGUACCUAAUCAGAAAGCCACGGCUAACUACGUG
Molecule: ribosomal RNA, 497 nt
Filed under: uncultured bacterium
Lineage: Bacteria
Description: partial 16S ribosomal RNA
Rfam family: Bacterial small subunit ribosomal RNA
Source: RNAcentral